GGAUGUGGGGGUGAUCUGGCUGCGACAUCUGUCACCCCAUUGAUCACCAUGGUUGAUUUGGCUGAUCUGGCUGACUAGGUGGGUAUCCCCUUCCUCCCUCACCACUCCACGUGUGUCCCUCCUGAAUCUGUGCACUCGGUGGAAGAGGAUGACCAUCCCCAGUAGAGUAGGACCCGUCUUCAGUCCAGGGUAUUUGAGUAGCUGCGCACUCCUGCUAGAGCCUCCAAACAAGCUCUCAGAAUGUUUUUUUUUUUUUUUGAGACGGAGUUUUGCUCUUGUUACCCAGGCUGGAGUGCAAUGGCGUGA
RNAcentral lists this small nuclear RNA (306 nucleotides) under Aotus nancymaae (Ma's night monkey). RNAcentral describes it as "7SK RNA (ENSANAG00000008237.1)". It matches the Rfam family "7SK RNA", at positions 1 to 270 of the family's 331-position model. Rfam says of the family: 7SK was discovered as an abundant small nuclear RNA in the mid-70s but a possible function has only recently been suggested. The record is from RNAcentral. Lineage: Eukaryota; Metazoa; Chordata; Mammalia; Primates; Aotidae.